This 593-nucleotide ribosomal RNA is filed under the name Trichoderma atroviride. Its description in RNAcentral is "eukaryotic LSU rRNA". It matches the Rfam family "Eukaryotic large subunit ribosomal RNA", at positions 38 to 654 of the family's 3401-position model. Lineage: Eukaryota; Fungi; Ascomycota; Sordariomycetes; Hypocreales; Hypocreaceae. The record is from RNAcentral.
GCAUAUCAAUAAGCGGAGGAAAAGAAACCAACAGGGAUUGCCCCAGUAACGGCGAGUGAAGCGGCAACAGCUCAAAUUUGAAAUCUGGCCCCUAGGGUCCGAGUUGUAAUUUGUAGAGGAUGCUUUUGGUGAGGUGCCGCCCGAGUUCCCUGGAACGGGACGCCGCAGAGGGUGAGAGCCCCGUCUGGCUGGCCACCGAGCCUCUGUAAAGCUCCUUCGACGAGUCGAGUAGUUUGGGAAUGCUGCUCAAAAUGGGAGGUAUAUGUCUUCUAAAGCUAAAUAUUGGCCAGAGACCGAUAGCGCACAAGUAGAGUGAUCGAAAGAUGAAAAGCACCUUGAAAAGAGGGUUAAACAGUACGUGAAAUUGUUGAAAGGGAAGCGCUUGUGACCAGACUUGGGCGCGGCGGAUCAUCCGGGGUUCUCCCCGGUGCACUUCGCCGCGUUCAGGCCAGCAUCAGUUCGGCGCGGGGGAAAAAGGCUUCGGGAACGUGGCUCCUCCGGGAGUGUUAUAGCCCGUUGCAUAAUACCCUGCGCUGGACUGAGGACCGCGCAUCUGCAAGGAUGCUGGCGUAAUGGUCACCAGCGACCCGUCU